This 72-nucleotide transfer RNA is filed under the name Pangasianodon hypophthalmus (striped catfish). Its description in RNAcentral is "tRNA-Glu". Lineage: Eukaryota; Metazoa; Chordata; Actinopteri; Siluriformes; Pangasiidae. The record is from RNAcentral.
UCCCUGGAGGACUAGUGGUUAGGCUUUGGCGCUCUCACCACUGUGGUCUAGGUUCGAUUCCAGGCUAGGGAA